AUCUAUGGUGCACGGACACGGAUACGUGGACACGGCGAUACGCGGAUACGGACACGGUGAUACGGCAUUUCCAAAAAACUAGGAUACGGACACGUGGGGGAUACGCGUAAAUAUAAAAAUAUAGGGGUAUAUUUAUAAAUAAUAAAAAUAUAGGGGUACAUUUAUAAAUUGUAAAAAAUAUGUAUAAGUCGUCAUCGCAUAAGAGAACCACUCGCCCUUGUUGCUCGUGUUCUUGAUCGCCGUCGCAUGCUAG
This 253-nucleotide long non-coding RNA is filed under the name Erythranthe guttata (spotted monkey flower). RNAcentral's name for it is "long non-coding RNA (EGUT_LNC001955)". The record is from RNAcentral. Lineage: Eukaryota; Viridiplantae; Streptophyta; Magnoliopsida; Lamiales; Phrymaceae.